Molecule: non-coding RNA, 485 nt
Filed under: Pongo abelii (Sumatran orangutan)
Lineage: Eukaryota; Metazoa; Chordata; Mammalia; Primates; Hominidae
Source: RNAcentral
UUAUCUUUUUCAUUCAUUGUUAUAUCUUCAGUGCCUAGAAGAGUGCUGGAUACAUUGUAAGUGCUCAAUAACUAUUUCUUGAAGAUUUAAUGUUUAUUUAAAUAAAGGGAUGAAGUCAUUCAACUUCCAAGAGGAACUAGGACCCCAACUACUAUGCGUUGCUCUCAGAGGGUGUGUAAGGCCACCCUUGCUGAUGAGGCUGCAGGUGUAACGAGCUGAGCUGCUGCCUUCAGAAGAAGCCAGAGAAAAGAACCCCAACACAUGAGACUAUCCAGGCUACAGCAACUCCAGCAGUCUCCUUACCUGGCAGAAAGGAGCACACUCUGCUACAAUGACAUGGAAUUUCCUCUUUCGGGCAGCCUCUUUGAGGAAGGCCUCUACUGUUCGGGAGAAGCCAAUGGUCAUGAUCACCUCAUUGGAGUGAAUGUGCUCCAGAGCCUGGGCUGCAAUGUUCUCCAUUGUCCCUUCUGUAAGAACCGUUUUGC